This 301-nucleotide ribosomal RNA is filed under the name uncultured bacterium. Its description in RNAcentral is "partial 16S ribosomal RNA". It matches the Rfam family "Bacterial small subunit ribosomal RNA", at positions 509 to 807 of the family's 1533-position model. The record is from RNAcentral.
CAGUCGCCGCGGUAAAACGGAGGGGGCUAGCGUUGUUCGGAAUUACUGGGCGUAAAGCGUACGUAGGCGGCUUUGUAAGUUAGAGGUGAAAGCCUGGUGCUCAACACCAGAACUGCCUUUAAGACUGCAUCGCUUGAACGUCGGAGAGGUGAGUGGAAUUCCGAGUGUAGAGGUGAAAUUCGUAGAUAUUCGGAAGAACACCAGUGGCGAAGGCGGCUCACUGGACGACUGUUGACGCUGAGGUACGAAAGCGUGGGGAGCAAACAGGAUUAGAUACCCCUGUAGUCCCUGUCUCUUAUAC